This 72-nucleotide transfer RNA is filed under the name Cavia porcellus (domestic guinea pig). It matches the Rfam family "tRNA". Rfam says of the family: Transfer RNA (tRNA) molecules are approximately 80 nucleotides in length. Lineage: Eukaryota; Metazoa; Chordata; Mammalia; Rodentia; Caviidae. The record is from Rfam by way of RNAcentral.
GAGAGUGUGGCUCAGUGGUAGAGUAUUUGCCUAGCAUGCAUGAGGCCCUGGGUUUGAUAUCCAGUACAAUCA